Long non-coding RNA from Daphnia pulicaria, 1325 nucleotides. RefSeq lists it as uncharacterized. Lineage: Eukaryota; Metazoa; Arthropoda; Branchiopoda; Diplostraca; Daphniidae. The record is from RefSeq and is a predicted model, not a curated record. The transcript has 6 exons.
AAUUCUACAAGUAGCUAAAGAAAAAAGAACUGAAUUGCUUUAAGUUACAUGGCAGAUACAGAACUGCAGCCCAGAUAACCAGAUAACUUCCCCCGAUAAUCAGUGUGGUGAAAACAUUUGUGUUGGAGUGUCAGAAGUGCUCAAUAGAUGACCUUCGUGUCGCUCGUUUAUCAUGUGAUGGCGCCAUGGCGGAUGGCGGAUUGUUGUCUUGUUGAGUGGUUGUCAAAAGUUUCCUGUUUUUCCAUGAAAAUUACCGAUGAAUUCAUAAGUAAAUUCAAGUUUAUUUCUGUGCAACUUGUUUGUGAUGUGAUUUAUUCCGUAAGUGUGUUAGAAUUGUUAGAUAUCCUUUCACUCUUUCAGAUUUCUUAUUAUAAAGUGUAGGAAGGAACGCGAAAGACAACUAGCCUACAAGUAGCCUACCAAUGCUUCAUCCUGUUAAUACAGGCGUGGUCCUCUCUAUUGUGGUUGUGAAUCUCUACUCUCUACUCGUCAACAUCUAUUGAGGAAUAACGAAUCUGCACUUAAAUAACGAUGGCGCAUUGCCAAUAAGUUUCAGCCAUUGACAGUAGACAGCAUGUUGCACGUCAUUUUGUUCUGGACUGGAGGAAGUGAGUUUUCAGUUUUCACUGAACACCCUGGAAUUCUCUAAAUUUAUUGAUCAUUGAUCAUUUGCCGACAAGGACAAGCAACAAGGCAACAUGUGAUGAUUCUGAUCUUGCCAUGAACGGAAGAGAACACUUGGUGCAAGAUCAUAAUUUGAUGGUUAACUUAUGAAGAGAAGGUGAGGAGAAAAUAAGGAUCUUAUUCCUCCAACAACUAUGGCAGAUUUGUUCCCGGUUUACCCUCGCCGCUGUUCGAUAGACUUUAUCAAUUAGUGGAAAACGACGAGUAGUUGGCCACGCUGAAUUUCAAGAUCUAUAAAUUAUAUAUAAGUUUAUAAAUUACAAGUGCAUAUCUGGGCUCCCUUCUUCAGUGGCCCCGUUUCCCUAAAUAACCACUAACCAACGCCCGCCGGUGGUCACUCACUCGCUGCGACAACCAGGAGGAAGGGAGAUGUUUGGUCGAACGGGGACUUGCAAGGCGCAUGAUUCGAUGAAAUCUGUUGGAGGGUCAUGAGUCUAAGCCGGAAGCCUACUAUGACACACUGCUCUCAUAAUAACUGCUCCUCAGCUCUCUUCGCUCUUUUUCCGGUUUCUCUUAACCAUGGCCGGGUAAUCUUCCUGGUCGAGUCAGUCGGGCAGUGUCUCCCCCUGCUCGACUGGCAGCAGUUUGACCCGGACGAUCUGUUUAAUAAGCUGUUUUAAAUAAAUUUGUUUGUUACUUUU